AAAUAGUAUUUAUUGUAGAUUUUUUAUAAGUAAAUGGAAACAAUUUAAUUAUUUAGGAUUGUUAUUGUACCUUUUGCAUAAUGGUUUUGCUAUAAUAUAAGUAAAUAAUUGUUCCCGAACAGAGAAGAUCUAUAUUAUUCCGGGCCUUGUGUGGCAUUACGAAUAUAUUGAGAAUAAUAUAGGGGCGAAAAACCUCCAAUUCUCUAGAUAGCUGGAUUUCUUAGAAACGUAUUUAGUACGGAAAACAUUUUCAUUAUGGUUAGAUAGUGGGUAGAAAGUAUUUUUAAUUUUUUUUGUUACUUCUAGGGAUAAUACCUCUUGUAAGGCGUUGAGAAUAUUACUAAUUUUAUUAAUAAUCUUUUUAUUAUAAGAAUGAAAGCAAUAAUUAUAUUGUUUUUUAAAAAUGCGGAAAUGAGUAGUAUAAUAAGUAAGUUUAAGGAACUCGGCAAAAUGUUCCCUCAACUGUUUAUCAAAAACAUAGCCCUAAGAAAAUAUUUAGGGUGAGCCCUGCCCGGUGACGUGAAGUUUAACGGCCGCAGUACCUUGACUGUGCUAAGGUAGCGUAAUCAGUUGGCUUUUAAAUGGAGUCUAGUAUGAACGGGUUUAUGGGGGAAAGCUGUCUCAAACUUAAAGUUCGAAUUUAUUAAUAAGGUGAAAAUACCUUUAAUGAAAAAAAAGACGAGAAGACCCUUAGAGCUUUGAAUAAAUUGUAUAUUGUACAAUAUUUUUUUGUUGGGGCGACAUGGAGACAAAUAACUCUCCUAAAUGUAUUUUACUUGCCGACUUUUUGUAAGUAAGAAUAAGCUACCUUAGGGAUAACAGCAUUAUUUUUUAUAAAGCUUAUGACCUCGAUGUUGGACUAGGGACUUUAUGGCUAGCCGUCAAAAUAGCAUGUUCUGUUCGAACAAGUGACCCUACAUGAUCUGAGUUCAGACCGGCGCAAGCCAGGUCAGAUUCUAUCUUUUAAUUUUCCAGUUUUAGUACGAAAGGACCAGGCUGGUUUCAUAUAAUUG
Molecule: ribosomal RNA, 1013 nt
Filed under: Lactiforis takii
Lineage: Eukaryota; Metazoa; Mollusca; Gastropoda; Amphibolidae
Description: 16S ribosomal RNA
Rfam family: Bacterial large subunit ribosomal RNA
Source: RNAcentral